This 700-nucleotide ribosomal RNA is filed under the name uncultured bacterium. Its description in RNAcentral is "bacterial SSU rRNA". It matches the Rfam family "Bacterial small subunit ribosomal RNA", at positions 94 to 810 of the family's 1533-position model. The record is from RNAcentral.
AGCGGCGGACGGGUGAGUAACACGUGGGUAACCUGCCUCAUAGAGGGGGAUAGCCUCCCGAAAGGGAGAUUAAUACCGCAUAAAGUAUUUUGGCUGCAUGGCCGAAAUAUCAAAGGAGUAAUCCGCUAUGAGAUGGACCCGCGGCGCAUUAGCUAGUUGGUGAGGUAACGGCUCACCAAGGCGACGAUGCGUAGCCGACCUGAGAGGGUGAUCGGCCACAUUGGAACUGAGACACGGUCCAGACUCCUACGGGAGGCAGCAGUGGGGAAUAUUGCGCAAUGGGGGAAACCCUGACGCAGCAACGCCGCGUGAAUGAUGAAGGCCUUAGGGUUGUAAAGUUCUGUCUUCUGGGACGAUAAUGACGGUACCAGAGGAGGAAGCCACGGCUAACUACGUGCCAGCAGCCGCGGUAAUACGUAGGUGGCAAGCGUUGUCCGGAUUUACUGGGCGUAAAGGAUGCGUAGGCGGAUAUUUAAGUCAGAUGUGAAAUACCCGGGCUCAACUUGGGUGCUGCAUUUGAAACUGGAUAUCUAGAGUGCGGGAGAGGUAAGUGGAAUUCCUAGUGUAGCGGUGAAAUGCGUAGAGAUUAGGAAGAACACCAGUGGCGAAGGCGACUUACUGGACCGUAACUGACGCUGAGGCAUGAAAGCGUGGGGAGCAAACAGGAUUAGAUACCCUGGUAGUCCACGCCGUAAACGAU